AUGCCUGUUAGCUACUCCACCCUUAGAGAUUCUGAUCGGGAGUUCAUAGUGGCUAAGUACCUUAAAAAAUUCGAGGCAUGGAUCGGUAAUGCUGCAUCUAUGGGGGGUAGACUAACUUUGUUGGACUCAGUUGUCACCCAAAUAUCCUUAUAUCAUAUGUCUAUGUGGCUUAUGAGCAAAACCUUCAUUGAAAAACUUGAUAAACAUAGAAGGAAAUUCUUUUGGCAAGGUUGUAACAAGGAAAGGAGGUAUCAUUUGGUCAAAUGGGGCAGAAUCUGUAGAUCUCGAGAUAAAGGUGGUCUAGGAGUUAAAGAUCUUCGGAAACAAAACAUCAGUUUGAUGGUCAAAUGGUGGUGGAAACUUGAGACCCAAAAUGGCCUUUGGCAAAAAAUCAUUCGUGCCCGAUAUUUGAAAAAUAGAACUAUGGCUACGGUUGAACCCAGGUUCAAUGACUCUCCAUGCUGGAAAGCCCUUCUUAAAGUUAAGACCCUGUAUAUGGCUGGUAGGAAAAUUAAAACUGAAUCAGGGGAUCUAACUAGAGUGUGGAAAGACUCUAUUAAUGGGUCUAGACCAUUCCAGGACUGUUAUCCCCUGCUGUUUGACAUAUGCACCGAGCAGGACUGCACUGUUGCAAAAGUCAAAUCUGUGACUCCCAACACCUUCUUUAGA
This 669-nucleotide ribosomal RNA is filed under the name Triticum aestivum (bread wheat). RNAcentral's name for it is "partial small subunit ribosomal RNA". Lineage: Eukaryota; Viridiplantae; Streptophyta; Magnoliopsida; Poales; Poaceae. The record is from RNAcentral.